Molecule: ribosomal RNA, 497 nt
Filed under: uncultured bacterium
Lineage: Bacteria
Description: partial 16S ribosomal RNA
Rfam family: Bacterial small subunit ribosomal RNA
Source: RNAcentral
GAUGAACGCUGGCGGCGUGCCUAAUACAUGCAAGUCGAGCGAACAGAUGAGGAGCUUGCUCCUCUGACGUUAGCGGCGGACGGGUGAGUAACACGUGGAUAACCUACCUAUAAGACUGGGAUAACUUCGGGAACCCGGAGCUAAUACCGGAUAAUAUAUUGAACCGCAUGGUUCAAUAGUGAAAGACGGUUUUGCUGUUACUUAUAUAUGUAUCCGCGCCGCAUUAGCUAGUUGGUAAGGUAACGGCUUACCAAGGCGACGAUGCGUAGCCGACCUGAGAGGGUGAUCGGCCACACUGGAACUGAGACACCGUCCAGACUCCUACGGGAGGCAGCAGUAGGGAAUCUUCCGCAAUGGGCGAAAGCCUGACGGAGCAACGCCGCGUGAGUGAUGAAGGUAUUCGGAUCGUAAAACUCUGUUAUUAGGGAAGAACAAAUGUGUAAGUAACAAUGCACGUCUUGACGGUACCUAAUCAGAAAGCAACGGCUAACUACGUG